GAACGUCAGGCUGACACAAU
This 20-nucleotide microRNA is filed under the name Ciona intestinalis (vase tunicate). Its description in RNAcentral is "cin-miR-4181-3p". The record is from miRBase by way of RNAcentral. Lineage: Eukaryota; Metazoa; Chordata; Ascidiacea; Phlebobranchia; Cionidae.